CAGAGUGACAAAGACGUCCUCAGAGAAGGACGAAUCAGACUCCAUGUGUCCAGACUGAGGACUGAAGACUCUGGUCUGUAUCUGUGUGAUGUGAAAACUGAAGAUGGAUCCAACUCUGCAGUCUGUCGACUCAACGUUACUGCAGCUGCUGAUCAGAUCCAAACUGAGAGACCAACUUGGACUCCAGAACCAGAAGAACUAGGAAGGAUCAUCUUCAUCAUCAUCACUCUGGGACUUAUAGCAACACCUCUGAUGUUUCUUCUUUCUUAUUUUUUAGUGAAAUGUUUUCUACCAGUAGAUGUUUAUUUUAGUAAUUAUAAAAAGACAAGAGAGAGUUCAGUCGCUUCAUCGUUAGAAACACUUUGAUCAGAAUGAGAGGAAUGUAGAUUUGUAGCAUCAACACAACAAACUCAUUUAUUUGGUCGAUUAUUUUCAGCAGCUGAAAGAUUUUAAAACUGAAACUCGACAUAAAUGAGCCUUAAUAAACAUAAUUUAAGCUAAGAUUGUUAUUUAUUUUUUAAGUUCAGUGUUUCAGGUUUUAUCUGAUUUUCUUCCUUCUGUUCAUCAACCAGCAGCAUAGAGAUGUUCUGGUUCUGACCCGUCCAGGUGCAGCUGGUUCUGAACGCAGGGAGAAAGGUGGACAGAGCUGGAUUAAUGUCUUAAUUUCUUCUGCAGAAAAAUAAAUGCUCCAAACCUU
Molecule: long non-coding RNA, 697 nt
Organism: Gambusia affinis (western mosquitofish)
Lineage: Eukaryota; Metazoa; Chordata; Actinopteri; Cyprinodontiformes; Poeciliidae
Exons: 2
Source: RefSeq, a predicted model, not a curated record